This 3186-nucleotide ribosomal RNA is filed under the name Pinus taeda (loblolly pine). RNAcentral describes it as "eukaryotic LSU rRNA". It matches the Rfam family "Eukaryotic large subunit ribosomal RNA". Lineage: Eukaryota; Viridiplantae; Streptophyta; Pinopsida; Pinales; Pinaceae. The record is from RNAcentral.
GCGACCUCAGCUCAGGUGAGAACACCCACUGUGUUUAAGCAUAUAAUUAAGCAGAGGAAAAGAAAUUUACAAGGAUUCCCCUAGUAGCAGCAAGCGUACCGGGAAGAUAUCAACAUGGAAAUCAGGUGGCAAUGUCGCUUGAAUUUUAUUCUGUAGAAGCAUCCUCAGCGGCGGACCUAGGCCAAGUCCCUUGAAAGGGGGUACCUGAGAGGGUGAAAACCUCAUCGAGUCAAGACCCUGCCGCAUCAUGAGGAAUUUUCGACGAGUCGGGUUGUUUGGGAAUGUAGCGCUAAUUGGGUGGUAAAUUUCGUCCAAGGCUAAAUAUGAGCAAGAGAUUGAUAGAAAAAAAUUAUCAUGAGGAAAAGAUGAAAUGAUUUUCAAAAGAGAGAUAAAGAGUGCUUGAAAAUGCCAAGAGGGAAGCAGAUGGAGGAUGUCGAUGCGUCUCAGUCAGAUGUGGAAUGCCUCAGGAUGAUCAACCGCUCAACUUGAGGUGAAAACCAACACGAGUUGCUGCAUCAUCACAAGUGUGGGUGGACUACUACCUAUCAAUUUUCCAUUGCAGUGGUUGAGGAAUGAAGUAUGUGCCCUUGUGGCAGUCUAUGUGCACCUACGCACUCAUGGUGUUGGUUGGCGGGCUUUCCAUUCAACCUGUCUGAAACACAGACCAAGGAGUCUAACAUGUGUGCGAGUUUGUGGGUUUGAAAACCUACAAGGCGCAAGGACUCUGACAGUUGAGAUCCCCUCUCUUGGCGGUGCAUCGUCAACCGACCUUGAGCUUAUGCGAAGGCUUCAAGUGUGAGCACACCUUUUGUGACCCGAAAGAUGGUGAGCUAUGCUUGAGCAGGGCGAUCCCAGAGGAAACUCUAGUGGAGGCUCGUAGCAAUACUCACAUGAAAAUCAUUCAUUUGGCUUGGGUAUAGGGUUGAAAGAAUAAUUGAACCAUCUAGUAGCUGGUUUCCUUCAAAGUUUCCCUCACGAUAGUUGAAGCUCACACACUAGUUUUAUCGGGUAAAUAAAAUGAUUAGAGGCAUUGGGGGUGUAACAUCCUCGACCUAUUCUUAGACUUUAAAUGGGUAAGAGGGUGUGGCUGCUCCAUUGAGCUGUGCCAUGGAAUCAACAACUCCAAGUGGGCCAUUUUUAGUAAGCAGAAUUGGCAAUGUGGGAUGAACUGAAAUCAAGUUAUGGUCCCAAAUUACAUGCUAAACUAGAUCCCACAAAGGGUGUUGGUUGAUUAAGACAUCAUCAUGGUGGUCACGAAAGUCAAAAUUUUCCAAGGGGUGUGUCACAAAUCACCUACCAAAUAAACUAGCCCCAAAAAUGGAUGGCGUUGAAACGUGCAACCUAUACUUGACCAUCAGAGCAAUUUCCUGGCUUUGAUGAGUAGGAGGACGUGGGGGUCGUUGAGAAACCUCAGGCGUAGCAAAUAUUCAAAUGAGAACUUUUGAGACUAAAGUGGGGAAAGGUUCCAUGUGAACAAUACUUUGACAUGGGUUAGUCGAUCCUAAUAGAUGGGGAAGCCUUGUAUCAAGGGUGCACUCUACAUGAGCAUUGAAAGGGAAUCAGGUUAAUAUUCCCGAACCGGGACAUGGCAGAAGGUGGAAACAUUAGGAAAUCUAGAGAUGUCAUCGAGGGCCCCCAGAAGAGUUAUCUUUUCUUUGUAGCAACUUUCCCACCUUAGAAUGGGUUCACCUGGAGAUAGAGACCAACAGUUGGAAGAGCACUGCAUGCCUUGUGGUGUCCAGUGUGCCCUUAGUGGCCCUUCAAAAUCUAGAGGACUAAUUACCAUUCAUGCCUGGUCAUAAUCAUAACCACAUCAGGUCUCCAACGUGAAUAUCCUCUAAUCAAUAGAACAAUGUAGGUAAGGGAAUUCGCCAAAACAGAUCCGUAACUUCGGUAAAAGGAUUGGCUCUGAGGGCUGGGCCUAGUGGUCUAUGGCCUCAACGUGUGGGCUAUCGGUAGUCUACCCGAGCUACUCUCACAGCGAGGGUGGGGAGUCGCGUGCCGAUACAGCUACUGGUGUAGAAUGCCCCUUACCAAGGGAUUUUCUGUAGGUGACAAACAGUCGACUUAGAACUGGUACGAACAAGGAGAAUUUGAUUGUUUAAUAAAAACAAAGCAUUGCGAUAGUCCCUUCAGAUGAUGAUGCAAUUUGAUUUCUGUCGAGUGCUCUGAAUGUCAAAGUGAAGAAAUUCAACCAAGCGUGGGUAAAUGGUGGGAUUAACUAUGACUCUCUUUAGGUAGCCACAUGCCUCGUCAUCUAAUUAGUGACGUCCAUGAAUGGAUUAAUGAUAUUCCCACUAUCCCUAUCUACUAUCUAGUGAAACCACUGCCAAGGGAACGGGCUUGGAAGAAUCAGCGGGGAAAGAAGACUUUGUUGAGCUUGCUCUAGUCUGACAAGUGAAAUACCACUACUUUUAACUUUAUUUUAGUUAUUCUGUGGGACAAAGAUGGGGCACUGCCCCUAUUUUUGGCCUUACGACACAUUUCGGUGGGUCGAUUAGAGAAGAAGACAUUGUCAAGUGGGGAGUUUGGCUGGGGUGACACAUCUGUUAAAACAUAACGCAGGUGUCCUAAGAUGAGCUCAACGAGAACAUAAAUCUCGUGUUGAACAAAAGGGUAAAGUCUCAUUUGAUUUUGAUUUUUAGUACGAAUACAAACUGUGAAAGCGCCACCUAUUGAUCCUUCAGAUUUUCAUAAUUUGAAACUAGAGGUGUUAGAAAAGUUACCACAGGGAUAACUGGCUUGUGGCAGCCAAGGGUUCAUAGCGAUGUUGCUUUUUGAUACUUCGAUGUUGGCUCUUCCUAUCAUUGUGAAGCAGAAUUCACCAAGUUUUGGAUUGUUCACUCACCAAUAGGGAAUGUGAGCUAGGUUUAAACCAUCGUGACAUAGGUUAGUUUUACCCUAGUGAUGAACUGCACCACUAUACUAAUUCAACUUGGUAUGAGAUGAACCAUUGAUUGACACAAUUGGUCAUCGUGCUUGGUUGAAAAGACAAUGAAGCGAAGCUACCUUGUGUCAGAUUAUGACUGAAUGGUUCUAAGUCAGAAUCCACACUAGAAGCGAUGUAUGUCACUCUUCAACUGUAUCUCGACCCAAAGUAGGAGCGUCACUUUGUCACCCCUAGGGGCUCGUGUCAUUUGCAAACCGUGAUCAUGAAGCAUAUCAAUCGAGGAAAAUUUGAAGUUC